CUCUCCCCCCCCCCCCCCCUUUCUUCUCUCCAAAGCUUCUUUUUUUCAGGUCUCUUGGAUCCAUAUAUGCUUCUGUUUAUCUUUUCUAGAUCUGGAAGCUCGUUUCCGUGAUUGCUAUGAAAAAGAUUGUGGAUUUGGUUCGAUUUUUCUCAAUUAAUCCGGUUUCGCUGUCGAUUUUCUCGAUCUCCGGGGUGGAACGGUUUCAUUUCAAGGAGUUGUCUGUUAUUUUUUAGUAGAUCUUUGGCCUCUAGGAGUGGGGAGCUCUCUCCAUUCUCUUUUUUACAAUGACUUGACGACGAGAGUUCGGGUUCUAGAAUCUUAUUCUUAUCUUCUUCUGUUGAGACAUUUCAGCUAGAUCUGGUUCUCACUAUCUUCGAUUAGUCCACAAGUUUUUUUUUUCUCGUUGGAUUCAUUCCUCAAACCUUCAUCUCCUUUGUUUUUUCGAUCUGAGUCUUAAAGAACGUAAGGAUAUGAUGCACUUGCACAAAAAGAAUAUGAGCAGGUGAUGGGUUGGGUUUGGUGCUUUGGCCGGGCAUGAUGGGUGACAACGAGAGAGAGCACGCCGGUCGGCAGUCAUGCAGGGUGCCAUGGCUGGGUACUGGCGUGCUCUUUCUCGGUGUCACCUCAGUUCUCCCCACAAAGCAUCUCCUCAAUUCCUUUGGAUCAAAACAUACAUAUGGAGUGUGCUGCCUCUAAGAAGGUGCCCUCUUCGGCAAUCCUUGCAAAAGACAAGUUUAAGACGAAUAGCUCAAAUAAUUUCGAUUCAGCAUCUCUAAACCUUCAAGUCAACAGUGUAAGUUGGAAUGGUUAUUUCAUAUUUUGUUAAGAUCAACACUAAUACAUGAGCAAGCUUUAAGUUUCUAUUUGUUGCACAGUAAUCCAUUAUAAGCAAGCAACAAUCUCCUUAAAUGAACAAAAUCAAGGCAUGGAACUAAAGGAAAUCUAUGCAGAAGAGCUAGGGUCAUGCAUGGAAGUAAGUAGGCUGUCCUAAAAGCUCAAGAAAGUGGAUUUAAAUGACUCAAAUAGGUUACAAUGCGUGUAAAAUGAUGAAAAAGGAAUGCAAAAGAAGGAAGGAUUAAAAAGAAAUAUUAUUUGUAUGGAAGGAUAUGUCAUUAGAGAGAGUGCUUGCAUAGUCUUCCACAUGUUGUGAAAGGACAAAUCUUAAUAUAUCAUGUCUUCAUAAUCUGAAGAGUACUGGGAGAGGAAGGAAUAAAGGUGGUCAGAGAAAAACCCCUUUUUUGUUAUUGUUUUGGAGAAAUGGAUAGCAGCUUGCAUUCUCAAGAAUUCUACAUAACCUUUUCCCUUAGUUGUGUGGCUCUAUAAGUUGUUUUGCAAGACUGCUUAGUAGACUAGGAAUCCCAGAAGGAAUUGGAGGGAAAGUUGUGACAAGACAGAGAAAGAGAGAGAGAAGAGAAACAGGCUCUAACUAAAGGAAGUUGUAGUAGGCUCGUUGCAGUCUUUAUCUGCUUGUAUAUGAGUAAAUGGGAUGUGCGCCUUUUUGAAUUAACUAUUAUAGGAGCUAGUACCAAUCAAUGCUGCAUCAGCCCUUCUGUUCAAGCUAUAUGUCUUGAGCCCUGAGAAUCCUUUUCCAUUUGUUUGGUACUUCACAAUUUACGAAGUUACACCUUGCCCGUUGGCAGUCGCUUAAGUCAUUAUGUGAUGAACCUGUAAUAACCCAAGUGGAUGGGGAAACUGAACAAUGAAGAUAAAAUAAAAAGUAGUUCUUUUUGCAUUUAUAAAUAAAAACCUCGUACCCUCAAUUUUACACUUGUCCUUUAUAUAUUCUAUUAAUUCCCUAUCACCCCAUAUCAUUUAGUUGUUGAGAAUCAUUGUGAGUCCUAGAUUUUCUUGGAGUAAUGUUCAUUUAUUUUGGUAAUCUAUGGUUUACAUUACAAGGAUCCCCAUUACUUUUGGGAUUUAAUAUUGGAGUCCAGGUCUUAGUUAUAUUUUCGUGGGAUAUUGAAUUAGUUACUGGUAGCGUAAUGGUCCAAGUAGGACAUGUUGCCAAGUCGGGUACUCGGCGUUAACUUUUUAAGGAAGUCCAGCUUUCAGUAGGAUAAUAGAGUCCUUAUAGUGGGCAUCCUCUGAAUUGUUAAAAAGAAAGUCUUCUUAUGGUUCUGUGAGAGAUACUAGUGUGUGUCCUAGUAGUGGAGAGGAUCCUGAGGUGUCCUUUGAGUAAAUUUUUUAUAUUUCUCUUUUCAAGUUUAUUUCAAAUCUCCCAUUUUAUGCUUCUUUUGUACAGCUUGUUAUUGGUGCUUGUUCUUGUGUUCCUGAGCAUUGGACAGUCCUCCUAUGUAAGAUCAUGCCAUUCUACACUUGGCUACACAGUAAAUUAACCAGGCUACACCUAGCAUGGUGAUAAUGGAGUCAACGAUGAGGGGAUUAUUGAAGUCAUCAUCAACCCCAGCAUUUUUUUUUGAGGGUAACAUGAAGGAAAACCUCAACAUUAUUUUCAUCACAAAAGAUUGAUUGGGCUUAAUUGCUAAUUAUGGUUAACUUGACCAGCAUUGUUAAAAUAAUUAUGUCCUUAUGUUGCAUUACUAUUCUUAACCACUUCUGUUUCUUUUUCUUGAGCUAUUUAUACCCUAUCUAUUCCACUGUUGUUGCAAUAUGGUGAUCAGAUGUUUGUAAUUCUCCUCUUCACUAUUUAUCCUUAUCCAAGAGCCAUGUCUAGGCUGUCAAUGACUAGAUUGGCCUUCAUUAGGUUGCCAACCAUCACUAGAGAAGGGGGUUGGUCGGGGUAUGCUAUACGGACCUCUAUAGUGUUUAUGCCCAUCAAAUUUUCCCAAUGAGUUUGAUAAGUCUUGGCAAAACAUCGGACCUCUCAUAAUGUCAAACACAAAGAUAUUGACCUCCUUUGAAAAAACUCUAUAAAUUUGAGCAAUUGAUAUUGGAGGUUUGCAUUGGUUGGCGGUAGCAAAAGACUUGGGGCUAGUGUUAAUACUUCCAACAUUUGCAACCCCCUUCUAGAUUGAGAUGAUGGCAAGAUUAUGGUAAUAUGUCAAGUUUCCACCGACAUAUGCACGUAUAUUGGAUGAUCAGAAAUCAAUCACCACAUUGGCAUAGUCUCUAUAGUAUACAGCCGUUGUCUGUCAUAAAUAUCCUAUCUGACCACAUGAAUUAUGUAUCAUAAACAUACAAAUUUUGGAGAAAAAGAAAAAGAAAAAAUCAAUUACUAAAUACAUAUUCCCUUCUACUGGUUUGCAUGUACAUAAUGGUCUUUCUUCUUUUCUUUCUUUUAGCUUCGUAAGGGAGGAAAAUUUUCCUAUUUACAGGUUCAACCUUCUUUCACCUUCUAAUUCUAGUAAUAUGAAAAAUGUGGUCUUGGUUUUUAGGAUCCUUAGCAAAAUCCUGUCUACUCUAUAUAAACUAGCAACCAAAUUAUCCAAUUAUGUCUCAGCAAAACAUAUGCGUUAAAAUGGACCCUAGAAACAAAGAGAAAUCGUAAAUAAGUUCAAGUCACUGGUAGUAUUAUAUACCAAUUCUGGUCACUUGAAAUAAUGAAUGAUAAUUGUGACAUUUUAAGAUUUUCAGUGUUGUAGGAAUAAAUGAAGAGAAGAGACAAACUGACAUGAAGAAAAAAUGGAAUCUACCCAAGAGAAAUAAGGAAUCAAUUGUGUUUUCAGCUAGUAAACUUGCUUUGAAAUAAGAUGCUAGAAAAAUAAAAAAACCUAUAUAUGCUACAAUAUACUGUAAAUCAAAUAUGACCACUUGAAAUAAGGAAUGAGAAUCAUGACAUAUCCUUACCACAGGUCUGCAACUGGGAGUACCAUUUAAGAAGGCAACUCUUUGGUUUCGUCCAACUGUGAACCUUAUUCAAAUUGAAGUUGUAUCAGGCCAUUACCCCUUGUGUUAAUUCCUUAAUGCUCUCCAAGCUUCUAUUUAGGUGUCUAUAUUUGACCUGUCUUGUUCUUUUUGAGCUCAUCUACUAUGACUGAUCUUCUAUUUAGAUAAUCCCAUUUUCUAGCGUGAAGUUCUUGUUCGUUUUAAAUUUUUUUAGCAGAUGGCGGCUUACCACAAAAGAAAAUGAGGUCAUAUGUAACCUAGAGUGCAAGAUUACAGGUACCAGGACUCGGCGAAUCAUGGCACAUGAAAGAGAUCAGUUCAAAAUUUUGUGUGGCAGCUCUGAAGUGCUCUAAGUAACAUGGUUUCUACAAUUUGAGGUUUAUUUCAUAUGGCUUGAGGUGGCAGAUUAUAGAAAAUAAAUAUCAAAUCUGAUUUGGGCAUAUGCUUCUUGGAGCUUACUAUUGCUCUUGGUGUUAACAAAAAAAGAAUGCCUCGACUCUGCCAUUGAGGUAGAGAUAGCUUUAUGAACAAUAAAAACAACAACAUUCAUAUUUUGAUAGACUCUAAAAGAAAGGGGUUGAAAAGCUCUCUAGAUUUAUAAUUCAGAGACCGAUUCAGAUUAACUUGGUGCUGGAGACCAAGAAUGAGCAGUUUUCUGAUGGUUUACUCUUGCUGAUCGACUUUUUAUUGUUGCUGAUGCCAUAGGUGUUAUUAUGCUUUGUCUUCUCUUUCAGCUGAUAGUUUGAGGAGCUGGAUCACUUUGUUUCUCUUUAUUUCGCAUCUAUGCUGUCUUGCCACUGUUGCAUGAAGUACCAUGUCUAUUAGUGAAACAUCUUAUAAAUGUACAAGUGGAGUGGCCAUGGUUUUGUUUGAGAAUUCUGUUGAAUAAGCUUAAUAGAAUAUCUUUUAUGUUCAUUAAGAUCAGAUGGGAGACUAUGGUAUAUACUGCAAGUUUUUUGCAGGGGGUAAAAGGAGGUAACAAAUGGACAUGAGAGACAAGAUCCAAAGUAAUGUGUCCACUUUUGGCAACAGAUGGGAACUAGUAGGUUUGCUCAUCUUAUCCACCCAGAAAUUCAAGGCUUGUGUAAAUUAGGAGGUUAAGUAUAAAUGGAACUGAAAUUCUUUUAUUAUGAAAUUCUUAUUUGUGCCCA
Non-coding RNA from Phoenix dactylifera (date palm), 4937 nucleotides. The record is from RefSeq and is a predicted model, not a curated record. NCBI's taxonomy places the organism in Eukaryota, Viridiplantae, Streptophyta, Magnoliopsida, Arecales, Arecaceae.